This 220-nucleotide ribosomal RNA is filed under the name Klebsiella pneumoniae. Its description in RNAcentral is "partial 23S ribosomal RNA". It matches the Rfam family "Bacterial large subunit ribosomal RNA", at positions 1476 to 1693 of the family's 2925-position model. The record is from RNAcentral. Lineage: Bacteria; Pseudomonadati; Pseudomonadota; Gammaproteobacteria; Enterobacterales; Enterobacteriaceae.
AGAAGGCUAUGUUAGCCGGGCGACGGUUGUCCCGGUUUAAGCAUGUAGGCUGGUUAUCCAGGCAAAUCCGGAUAAUCAAGGCUGAGGUGUGAUGACGAGGCACUACGGUGCUGAAGUAACAAAUGCCCUGCUUCCAGGAAAAGCCUCUAAGCAUCAGGUAACAUCAAAUCGUACCCCAAACCGACACAGGUGGUCAGGUAGAGAAUACCAAGGCGCUUGA